This 204-nucleotide long non-coding RNA is filed under the name Lathyrus oleraceus (garden pea). Its description in RNAcentral is "Pisum sativum (pea) long non-coding RNA (PSAT_LNC019608)". The record is from RNAcentral. Lineage: Eukaryota; Viridiplantae; Streptophyta; Magnoliopsida; Fabales; Fabaceae.
CCGCAUCAAUUUGCUUAUGAACUUCCUCUUUGAUCUUCACUGCCAUAUCAGGAUGAGUUCUUCUGAGCUUCUGCUUUACAGGCACACACUCAGGUUUCAAAGGUAGGAAAUGUUGCACAAUAUCAGUAUCUAGACCUGGCAUGUCUUCAUACGACCAAGCAAAGACGUCGACAUAUUCUCGUAGCAACUUAAUCAACCCCUUCU